UACGGAGGAUCCAAGCGUUAUCCGGAUUCAUUGGGUUUAAAGGGUGCGUAGGCGGACUGAUAAGUCAGUGGUGAAAUCCUGCAGCUUAACUGCAGAACUGCCAUUGAUACUGUCAAUCUUGAGUAUAUUUGAUGUGGGCGGAAUGUGUCAUGUAGCGGUGAAAUGCUUAGAUAUGACACAGAACACCGAUUGCGAAGGCAGCUCACAAAACUAUAACUGACGCUGAGGCACGAAAGCGUGGGUAUCAAACAGG
This 253-nucleotide ribosomal RNA is filed under the name uncultured bacterium. Its description in RNAcentral is "partial 16S ribosomal RNA". It matches the Rfam family "Bacterial small subunit ribosomal RNA", at positions 524 to 776 of the family's 1533-position model. The record is from RNAcentral.